UCAAAAAAAAAAAAAAAAAUCAAUCCUUCAAAUCUAAAAGCUUAUGUGUGCUUUUGAAAGCUCUGGAGGUGAACUGGAAAUGGGUGAGACUCCUGUCCGUACUCCAGAAAAGAAAAUUGGAGAAAGCGAACGACUGAUCCUUUAGAAGGAGAUUUAAAUGACCACAAUGUCCUUGAGCAAAUCAGGUUAAUUAACAUAAUAUAACUCUAACGGAU
Molecule: unclassified non-coding RNA, 215 nt
Filed under: Hevea brasiliensis (rubber tree)
Lineage: Eukaryota; Viridiplantae; Streptophyta; Magnoliopsida; Malpighiales; Euphorbiaceae
Source: RNAcentral